UUCUAUUAUAUUAAUUAAUAGUAAAAUCUGCUCAAUGAAAUUAAAUAGCCGCAAACGUGCUAAGGUAGCAUAAUAAUUUGUCUUUUAAAUAAAGACUAGAACAAAAGAUUCAACAUUUUAACUAAUUUUUUAAAUCAAAAAUCGAAUUUUUCUUAAAUGUAAAAAGACAUUUAUAAAAAAGAAAGACGACAAGACCCUUACGAACUUAACUUAAGUUAAACUGGGGAAGUAAAUUAAUUAUUAUUUUAAUUAAAAUUAAAAUCAAAAAAACUAAAUAAUUAAUAUUCAAGUUACCGGAGGGAUAACAGCGUAAUAUAUUUUAAAAGAUCUUAUUUAAAAAAAAGUUUGCGACCUCGAUGUUGAAUAAUUACCUAUUAUAUGCAAAAAUAUAAAAAGGAAGUCUGUUCGACUUUUAAAAAAUUACA
RNAcentral lists this ribosomal RNA (425 nucleotides) under Asemonea tenuipes. Its description in RNAcentral is "partial 16S ribosomal RNA". Lineage: Eukaryota; Metazoa; Arthropoda; Arachnida; Araneae; Salticidae. The record is from RNAcentral.